This 468-nucleotide ribosomal RNA is filed under the name uncultured bacterium. RNAcentral's name for it is "partial 16S ribosomal RNA". It matches the Rfam family "Bacterial small subunit ribosomal RNA", at positions 28 to 507 of the family's 1533-position model. The record is from RNAcentral.
GACGAACGCUGGCGGCGUGCUUAACACAUGCAAGUCGAACGGAAAGGCCCUGCUUUUGUGGGGUGCUCGAGGGGCGAACGGGUGAGUAACACGUGAGUAACCUGCCCUUGACUUUGGGAUAACUUCAGGAAACUGGGGCUAAUACCGGAUAGGAGCUCCUGCUGCAUGGUGGGGGUUGGAAAGUUUCGGCGGUUGGGGGUGGACUCGCGGCUUAUCAGCUUGUUGGUGGGGUAGUGGCUUACCAAGGCUUUGACGGGUAGCCGGCCUGAGCGGGUGACCGGCCACAUUGGGACUGAGAUACGGCCCAGACUCCUACGGGAGGCAGCAGUGGGGAAUAUUGCACAAUGGGCGGAAGGCUGAUGCAGCAACGCCGCGUGCGGGAUGACGGCCUUCGGGUUGUAAACCGCUUUCGCCUGUGACGAAGCGUGAGUGACGGUAAUGGGUAAAGAAGCACCGGCUAACUACGUG